RNAcentral lists this ribosomal RNA (1252 nucleotides) under metagenome. RNAcentral's name for it is "bacterial SSU rRNA". It matches the Rfam family "Bacterial small subunit ribosomal RNA", at positions 253 to 1498 of the family's 1533-position model. The record is from RNAcentral.
UGGGGUAACGGCCUACCAAGGUGAUGAUACGUAGCCGAAUUGAGAGGUUGAUCGGCCACAUUGGGACUGAGACACGGCCCAAACUCCUACGGGAGGCAGCAGUAGGGAAUCUUCCACAAUGGACGAAAGUCUGAUGGAGCAACGCCGCGUGAAUGAAGAAGGCCUUCGGGUCGUAAAAUUCUGUUGUCAGAGAAGAACGUGCGUGAGAGUAACUGUUCACGUAUUGACGGUAUCUGACCAGAAAGCCACGGCUAACUACGUGCCAGCAGCCGCGGUAAUACGUAGGUGGCGAGCGUUGUCCGGAUUUAUUGGGCGUAAAGGGAACGCAGGCGGUCUUUUAAGUCUGAUGUGAAAGCCUUCGGCUUAACCGAAGUAGUGCAUUGGAAACUGGAAGACUUGAGUGCAGAAGAGGAGAGUGGAACUCCAUGUGUAGCGGUGAAAUGCGUAGAUAUAUGGAAGAACACCAGUGGCGAAAGCGGCUCUCUGGUCUGUAACUGACGCUGAGGUUCGAAAGCGUGGGUAGCAAACAGGAUUAGAUACCCUGGUAGUCCACGCCGUAAACGAUGAGUGCUAAGUGUUGGAGGGUUUCCGCCCUUCAGUGCUGCAGCUAACGCAUUAAGCACUCCGCCUGGGGAGUACGGUCGCAAGACUGAAACUCAAAGGAAUUGACGGGGGCCCGCACAAGCGGUGGAGCAUGUGGUUUAAUUCGAAGCAACGCGAAGAACCUUACCAGGUCUUGACAUCUUCUGACAAUUCCAGAGAUGGAACGUUCCCUUCGGGGACAGAAUGACAGGUGGUGCAUGGUUGUCGUCAGCUCGUGUCGUGAGAUGUUGGGUUAAGUCCCGCAACGAGCGCAACCCUUAUUGUCAGUUGCCAUCAUUAAGUUGGGCACUCUGGCGAGACUGCCGGUGACAAACCGGAGGAAGGUGGGGAUGACGUCAAAUCAUCAUGCCCCUUAUGACCUGGGCUACACACGUGCUACAAUGGACGGUACAACGAGUCGCUAACUCGCGAGGGCAAGCUAAUCUCUUAAAGCCGUUCUCAGUUCGGAUUGCAGGCUGCAACUCGCCUGCAUGAAGUCGGAAUCGCUAGUAAUCGCGAAUCAGCAUGUCGCGGUGAAUACGUUCCCGGGCCUUGUACACACCGCCCGUCACACCAUGAGAGUUUGUAACACCCAAAGUCGGUGGGGUAACCUUUUGGAGCCAGCCGCCUAAGGUGGGACAGAUGAUUGGGGUGAAGUCGAAACAAGGUA